UGGUCUCACUUGCGUCAACAACACACCGGUAGACGAGCCGGCAAUACUUGGAUUCUUGAGAGUGUUGGCGUGCCAGGUGAGGUACGUUUUCGACACCGCACCGAGCGAAAUUAUAAAGGAGCUGGGCUGUGAACUGGUCGGCAUUGUUCACUCGAUCAGUGGCAGCGGCGGUGCGACGGCUGUUUCACCGUUGAUCUGCACCUUGGAAAGAAUACUAAACACCGAGUGCUCAGUUGUCCAGUGUUAGAACAAAGGCUCCACCCUUUACAUGCACAUAUAAAUUUGAAACUCGGCAUAUCUACAGUUUAUAUAAUCAAACAACUUUAUGGAAUAAAUUGAAGAUUGUUGAAACA
Long non-coding RNA from Dermacentor albipictus, 353 nucleotides. RefSeq lists it as uncharacterized. The record is from RefSeq and is a predicted model, not a curated record. Lineage: Eukaryota; Metazoa; Arthropoda; Arachnida; Ixodida; Ixodidae.